CCAUGGAGAACAAGAGCACCUCCUCCCAGCUGCCCACUGCACUGAGGCUAGGUAACACGGUCACCUCCUCCCAGCUGCCCACUGCACUGAGGCUAGGUAACACGGUCACCUCCUCCCAGCUGCCCACUGCACUGAGGCUAGGUAACACGGUCACCUCCUCCCAGCUGCCCACUGCACUGAGGCUAGGUAACACGGUCACCACCGACAAAUCCGUGAUAAUCGAAAACUUCAACAAGCAUUUCUCAACGGCUGGCCAUGCCUUCCUCCUGGCUACUCCAACUUCGGCCAACAGCUCCGCCCCCCCCC
Long non-coding RNA from Oncorhynchus tshawytscha (Chinook salmon), 306 nucleotides. NCBI's taxonomy places the organism in Eukaryota, Metazoa, Chordata, Actinopteri, Salmoniformes, Salmonidae. The record is from Ensembl.